This 484-nucleotide ribosomal RNA is filed under the name uncultured bacterium. RNAcentral describes it as "partial 16S ribosomal RNA". It matches the Rfam family "Bacterial small subunit ribosomal RNA", at positions 30 to 507 of the family's 1533-position model. The record is from RNAcentral.
AUUGAACGCUGGCGGCAGGCCUAACACAUGCAAGUCGAGCGGAUGAAGGGAGCUUGCUCCUGGAUUCAGCGGCGGACGGGUGAGUAAUGCCUAGGAAUCUGCCUGGUAGUGGGGGAUAACGUCCGGAAACGGGCGCUAAUACCGCAUACGUCCUGAGGGAGAAAGUGGGGGAUCUUCGGACCUCACGCUAUCAGAUGAGCCGAGGUCGGAUUAGCUAGUUGGUGGGGUAAAGGCCUACCAAGGCGACGAUCCGUAACUGGUCUGAGAGGAUGAUCAGUCACACGGGAACUGAGACACGGUCCAGACUCCUACGGGAGGCAGCAGUGGGGAAUAUUGGACAAUGGGCGAAAGCCUGAUCCAGCCAUGCCGCGUGUGUGAAGAAGGUCUUCGGAUUGUAAAGCACUUUAAGUUGGGAGGAAGGGCAGUAAGUUAAUACCUUGCUGUUUUGACGUUACCAACAGAAUAAGCACCGGCUAACUUCGUG